This 358-nucleotide long non-coding RNA is filed under the name Trifolium pratense (red clover). RNAcentral describes it as "long non-coding RNA (TPRA_LNC012454)". Lineage: Eukaryota; Viridiplantae; Streptophyta; Magnoliopsida; Fabales; Fabaceae. The record is from RNAcentral.
ACAGGCAAACUGGUAAGGUUUUUGUGCCAGAAAAUAUAUCAGGUAAUAUUUACUCUGAUGCAGGAAGAUACUUAAACACCGGGCAAUAUCCAUUAUCCGCAGGAAAUAUUACUGAUUGGGCUGUUGGUGCCCCUCACAUGGUAGCACCUUCUCAAUCUCAUGUUAAUACAGCAGGAAAUAUUCCUGAUUGGGACGUUAGUGCCCCUCGCAUGGUCGCACCUUCUCAAUCUCAUGUUAAUACCGCAGGAAAUAUUCUUGAUUGGGAUGUUAGUGCCCCUCGCAUGGUAGCACCUUCUCAACCUCAUGUUAAUAAUUUCAUUGGUCAGCCUUGGCUUCCUUCAGUCCAUCAAGUUCAGGG